GCGGAGGAAAAGAAACCAACAGGGAUUGCCCUAGUAACGGCGAGUGAAGCGGCAACAGCUCAAAUUUGAAAUCUGAUCUCUUCGAGGUCCGAGUUGUAAUUUGUAGAGGGCGCUUUGGUGUUGGCUGCGGUCUAAGUUCCUUGGAACAGGACGUCAUAGAGGGUGAGAAUCCCGUCUGUGGUCGCAUGUCUUCACCGUGUAAAGCCCCUUCGACGAGUCGAGUUGUUUGGGAAUGCAGCUCUAAAUGGGAGGUAAAUUUCUUCUAAAGCUAAAUACUGGCCAGAGACCGAUAGCGCACAAGUAGAGUGAUCGAAAGAUGAAAAGCACUUUGGAAAGAGAGUCAAACAGCACGUGAAAUUGUUGAAAGGGAAGCGCUUGCAGCCAGACUUGCUUGCAGUUGCUCAUCCGGGCGCUCGCCCGGUGCACUCUUCUGUAGGCAGGCCAGCAUCAGUUUGGGCGGUUGGAUAAAGGCCUCUGUCAUGUAUCUUCUCCGGAAGACCUUAUAGGGGAGGCGUAAUGCAACCAGCCUGGACUGAGGUCCGCGCAUCUGCUAGGAUGCUGGCGUAAUGGCUGUAAGCGGCCCGUCUUGAAACACGGACCAAGGAGUCUAACAUCUAUGCGAGUGUUUGGGUGUCAAGCCCGAGCGCGCAAUGAAAGUGAACGGAGGUGGGAACCCUCGGGUGCACCAUCGACCGAUCCUGAAGUCUUCGGAUGGAUUUGAGUAAGAGCAUAGCUGUUGGGACCCGAAAGAUGGUGAACUAUGCUUGAAUAGGGUGAAGCCAGAGGAAACUCUGGUGGAGGCUCGCAGCGGUUCUGACGUGCAAAUCGAUCGUCAAAUUUGG
RNAcentral lists this small RNA (842 nucleotides) under Acrocalymma walkeri. Its description in RNAcentral is "eukaryotic LSU rRNA". It matches the Rfam family "Eukaryotic large subunit ribosomal RNA", at positions 50 to 914 of the family's 3401-position model. Lineage: Eukaryota; Fungi; Ascomycota; Dothideomycetes; Pleosporales; Acrocalymmaceae. The record is from RNAcentral.